GUACUCAUUUUGUCAGCACAUAUACCAAAAUUAGAAUGACACAUGAAAACAAGCAUGACUUCAGCACAAGGAUGACAUGCAAAUCUGUGAGGUGUUUGGUAUUUUA
Molecule: small nuclear RNA, 106 nt
Organism: Bison bison bison
Lineage: Eukaryota; Metazoa; Chordata; Mammalia; Artiodactyla; Bovidae
Source: Ensembl